AAAGUCGGGCUUAAUGAUCCGGUGGUUCCGCAUGGAUGAGCCAUCGCUCAACGGAUAAAAGCUACCCCGGGGAUAACAGGCUUAACGCCCCCAAGAGUCCACAUCGACGGCGAGGUUUGGAACCUCGAUGUCGGCUCGUCGCUUCCUGGGGCUGUAGUCGGUCCCAAGGGUUGUGCUGUUCGCCCAUUAAAGCGGCACGCGAGAUGGGUUCAGAACGUCGUGAGACAGUUCGGUCCCUAUCCGUCGCGGGCGCAGGAAAUUUGAGAGGAGCUGUCCUCCGUACGACUGGACCGGGAUGGACACACCGCUGGUGUACGAGUUGUUCCGCCCGGAGCAUCGCUGGGUCACUAUGCGUGGCAGGGAUAACCGCCGAACGCACUUCAGCGUGAAACCCCC
RNAcentral lists this ribosomal RNA (396 nucleotides) under Listeria monocytogenes. Its description in RNAcentral is "bacterial LSU rRNA". It matches the Rfam family "Bacterial large subunit ribosomal RNA", at positions 2402 to 2797 of the family's 2925-position model. Lineage: Bacteria; Bacillati; Bacillota; Bacilli; Caryophanales; Listeriaceae. The record is from RNAcentral.